RNAcentral lists this ribosomal RNA (497 nucleotides) under uncultured bacterium. RNAcentral describes it as "partial 16S ribosomal RNA". It matches the Rfam family "Bacterial small subunit ribosomal RNA", at positions 28 to 507 of the family's 1533-position model. The record is from RNAcentral.
GAUGAACGCUGGCGGCGUGCCUAAUACAUGCAAGUCGAGCGAACGGACGAGAAGCUUGCUUCACUGAUGUUAGCGGCGGACGGGUGAGUAACACGUGGAUAACCUACCUAUAAGACUGGGAUAACUUCGGGAAACCGGAGCUAAUACCGGAUAAUAUUUUGAACCGCAUGGUUCAAAAGUGAAAGACGGUCUUGCUGUCACUUAUAGAUGGAUCCGCGCUGCAUUAGCUAGUUGGUAAGGUAACGGCUUACCAAGGCAACGAUGCAUAGCCGACCUGAGAGGGUGAUCGGCCACACUGGAACUGAGACACGGUCCAGACGCCUACGGGAGGCAGCAGUAGGGAAUCUUCCGCAAUGGGCGAAAGCCUGACGGAGCAACGCCGCGUGAGUGAUGAAGGUCUUCGGAUCGUAAAACUCUGUUAUUAGGGAAGAACAUAUGUGUAAGUAACUGUGCACAUCUUGACGGUACCUAAUCAGAAAGCCACGGCUAACUACGUG